This is a long non-coding RNA of Zea mays, 895 nucleotides long. RefSeq lists it as uncharacterized. NCBI's taxonomy places the organism in Eukaryota, Viridiplantae, Streptophyta, Magnoliopsida, Poales, Poaceae. The transcript has 4 exons. The record is from RefSeq and is a predicted model, not a curated record.
GCAAAGACAGAAUAGAAGAUGGGAACAGGUCGAUGGUACAAAGGUUUAGAUCUCAACUGACCCAUCAGAUGGAUGCCUUGCAUAAAACCGUAUCAAGUUCUGUUGCAGUUCUAUCAUGCAACAGAAGGACCACCUUAAUGAAAUGAAACAUGAAAGUGGUUAGAGCCGAAGGUCUUGUUGAAAGACAGAAUAGAAGAUGGGAACAGGUCGAUGGUACAAAGGUUUAGAUCUCAACUGACCCAUCUCAAACGGAGAGGAAUUUCGAAUUGUGGCAGGUGCUGCCUCCACCUGGUAACGGUGGGCUGAAAUACUAUGGUUGUGAGCAGUAAAUUCGACCAAAUCAUCUGCUCCACAGAAGCCAUCAACGCCUCGACCGGACAGUGACAUAGGUGAUCCACAGAUACUUCAUGUACACAGCAAAAGAUUUGGAAGAGUGGUCAGAAAAUCAUGAUUCCUUUCGCCACGAGCAGAAUUUGGUUCAGUGGACUGAGAAAAAACGGCGAUAUGUUGAAGCCUUUUUUAUCGUGGUUGUGAGUCUAUUGAAUGCUUUAAUGCUCAAAUUAUCAUGUGUCACUUCAGCUUUUAGCUCCAAUUGUUUUUGUUCUUCGUGAAGCUAUGUCUGUUUGGAAGAUCAAAAUUAUUUUAGGCGUGUGCUAUUUCUUCUGUUCCCGAUCCUUCCUACAUAUUGUAGCCACUUGUGGUUCCAUUUUCAUGCUUCCUAUGUACAACGUGGGUGCACAUAUCGCUUAUCUUGGUAUUUUAUUGUCCUAUUCUUUCUUUUUUGUUUCAGUAUAUUCAGUAUGUGCACUCUCAUUUUUGCUCAUAUGGCCCUGCAGCUAACCAAUGGUGUCGGUAAGGAUUUUGUCAUCAACAAUGGUGCAUGCUCUUGUUUCAC